Molecule: long non-coding RNA, 1072 nt
Filed under: Homo sapiens (human)
Lineage: Eukaryota; Metazoa; Chordata; Mammalia; Primates; Hominidae
Description: HSALNT0296364
Source: RNAcentral
GCCUCCGCCCCUCGGUGCCCGCGCCUGGGCUCCUCCCGCUGCGGGCCGCCCGCCCGGACGCAAGGCACAGGGGGACGCCCCGCCGAGCCGCUGCCCACUGCACCGAGUUUUUCGGAGGCUGGGAGAGGAAAUGCCACUUGGAUUUUAAAACCGUCACCGAUACGCUAUAGCCCUGCUUUCUCUACCUCCAGUCGUUUUCUGAGGACCGGCUUGGUGGGUGCUGAUGCCUGCCUGGAAGACCUCACACCCACAGUGUCUUAGAAGAUUCUGAAAGCAGUGUGAGACCAGAAUGACCAGCAAAGGAGAAAAGAACAAGGACACAUUGCAGCCAAAAUGGAGCUAGAAUCUUGCCUCUGUCCAUCCUUCACUGGAGUUAUCCUGGAUGGAGAAGGAACCAUAUCACCUGCAAAGCCUGGAAGGGGAGCCCUGCUGUGAGCCUCCAAUUUAGUGGGAACUUGAACUGAACUGUGCUAAUUUAUUACUUGGACACCAAAGAGUUAUUAUUUUGUGGAGGAAAAUCAACUUUGAACAUUCAAGAAAAAAGACCCCAUUGUAAUGAUUGGUUAGAAUUUGAUCUGGAUCUACAUAGAUUCAUUUUCUAAAACUAUUCAAUUAAGGAUAAUGUCAACCUAUUGCCUGAAUUUAAAUCAGCGAUUCAUUUGGCUAAUGAAUUUUCCUUUUUCUGUGAGUACCGUGUCCUACGAAUUUACAGGGGAUGGUCAGAGAAAUGGUGACAAAGAAAAGGAGGUUUGUUUGUUUUUAAUGUUUUGUUUGCUGACUUAAAAAGCACACAGCCCUGGAAAUGGCCUUCUCAUUACUCGAGACAAUAAAACAUCCCAGAAAUCCUGACACUGGCUAAUAAGACACAUGCCUUUAAUGACAGCCUCAAAAAGAAGCCCCUACGGUGGAAAGUGUUGUGUGUUUGAUUGCGCUAGUUUUACCAUGGAAUGUGCCAGUUGUGGCUGGAAGUAAUUGUCUUUUCAGUGGACAACAAUAAAACUGUUUUUAAGUUCUCUUCCUUAGUAAAGCCUAAUUUAUAAAUGGAAAUAAGAAGUUUCUAAUUUCCCCCAAG